RNAcentral lists this ribosomal RNA (253 nucleotides) under uncultured bacterium. Its description in RNAcentral is "partial 16S ribosomal RNA". It matches the Rfam family "Bacterial small subunit ribosomal RNA", at positions 524 to 776 of the family's 1533-position model. The record is from RNAcentral.
UACGUAGGGUGCGAGCGUUGUCCGGAAUUAUUGGGCGUAAAGAGCUUGUAGGCGGUCUGUCGCGUCUGCUGUGAAAAUCCGGGGCUCAACCCCGGACCUGCAGUGGGUACGGGCAGACUAGAGUGUGGUAGGGGAGACUGGAAUUUCUGGUGUAGCGGUGAAAUGCGCAGAUAUCAGGAGGAACACCGAUGGCGAAGGCAGGUCUCUGGGCCAUAACUGACGCUGAGAAGCGAAAGCAUGGGGAGCGAACAGG